GGUUAUACAAAUAAUAUAAGUAAAUUUUAUUAAUAGAAGUUAAAUUGUUAAUUUUUGAAAAAAAUAAUUAAUUUAUUAGGUGAAAUUUUAAAUUAAUACAAUUUUUAAUAAAAAAAAUAAUUGAAGCUGUAAAAUUUUAAAAAAAAACUAGGAUUAGAUACCCUAUUAUUUAAAAUAAAAAUAAAUUUAUUUGAGUAGUAUUAGAUAUAUUCUUGAAACUUAAAAAAUUUGGCGGUAUUUUAGUCUAUUCAGAGGAACUUGUUUUGUAAUCGAUAAUCCGCGAUGUACCUUACUUAAAAUUGUAAUUCAAUUUAUAUAUCGUUGUUAUUAGAAUAUUUUAUAAGAAUAAUAAUUUUCUAUAAUUUAUAUAAAAAUUAAUAUCAAAUCAAGGUGUAGUUUAUUUUUAAGUAUAAAUGAGUUACAAUAAAAUUUAUUUAUGUGAAUUUAAAUAUGAAAAAUUUAAUGAAAUUGGAUUUGAUAGUAAAAUUAUAAAGAUUAAUAAUUUGAUUUUAGCUCUAAAAUAUGUACAUAUCGCCCGUCGCUCUUGUUAUUAAAAUAAGAUAAGUCGUAACAUAGUAGAUGUACUGGAAAGUGUAUCUAGAAU
This 604-nucleotide ribosomal RNA is filed under the name Eristalinus cf. tabanoides/megacephalus. RNAcentral describes it as "12S ribosomal RNA". The record is from RNAcentral. Lineage: Eukaryota; Metazoa; Arthropoda; Insecta; Diptera; Syrphidae.